RNAcentral lists this ribosomal RNA (301 nucleotides) under uncultured bacterium. Its description in RNAcentral is "partial 16S ribosomal RNA". It matches the Rfam family "Bacterial small subunit ribosomal RNA", at positions 509 to 808 of the family's 1533-position model. The record is from RNAcentral.
CAGCCGCCACGGGAAUACGUAGGUGGCAAGCGUUGUCCGGAGUUAUUGGGCGUAAAGCGCGCGCAGGCGGUUUCUUAAGUCUGAUGUGAAAGCCCCCGGCUUAACCGGGGAGGGUCAUUGGAAACUGGGAGACUUAGAGUGCAGAAGAGGAGAGUGGAAUUCCAUGUGUAGCGGUGAAAUGCGUAGAUAUAUGGAGGAACACCAGUGGCGAAGGCGACUCUCUGGUCUGUAACUGACGCUGAGGCGCGAAAGCGUGGGGAGCAAACAGGAUUAGAUACCCCUGUAGUCCCUGUCUCUUAUA